AUUAUGCAUCAAUUUUAUCAUUGAAAUAUCGUCAUUUUCUUCCUUGCUGUGUUACAUUCCUCUAGUUGCAUAACUAGCCUGGUUUAACAUAGUAUCUCUGGUUUUUGGUUCGGUGCUAUGGAUUUUCUUGUUCAGAGCAAAGAGGGGAAAACAUCAGAAGCUCCUUUAGGCAACCCAAGUGCUAGUAAUUCUUUCAUUGACAAUAAUGAAAGAUGAGACCUUUGCUUCAGAUCAGGGAGGGUUUAAUAAUGAUGAAACAAAUCCUAGAGUUCAAGAAAGUUCUGAUUACCCUAAUUAUCAGUCUUACAUGGACAAAACACCAAGGUCAAGAUGGUCAAAACAAGACACAGAAUUGUUCUACGAGGCUUUGCAGCAGUUUGGUUCAGACAUAUCAAUGAUACAACAGCUUUUUCCUGGCCGGACGCGUAGCCAAGUCAAGUUGAAAUAUAAGAAAGAAGAGCG
This is a non-coding RNA of Camellia sinensis, 462 nucleotides long. Lineage: Eukaryota; Viridiplantae; Streptophyta; Magnoliopsida; Ericales; Theaceae. The record is from RefSeq and is a predicted model, not a curated record.